ACGGCUCAGUAACACGUAGUCAACAUGCCCAGGGGACGUGGAUAACCUCGGGAAACUGAGGAUAAACCGCGAUAAGUCACUACUUCUGGAAUGGGUAAUGACUAAAAUCUACAUGGCCCCUGGAUUGGACUGCGGCCGAUCAGGCUGUUGGUGAGGUAAUGGCCCACCAAACCUGUAACCGGUACGGGCUCUGAGAGGAGGAGCCCGGAGAUGGGCACUGAGACAAGGGCCCAGGCCCUAUGGGGCGCAGCAGGCGCGAAACCUCUGCAAUAGGCGAAAGCCUGACAGGGUUACUCUGAGUGAUUUCCGUUAAGGAGAUCUUUUGGCACCUCUAAAAAUGGUGCAGAAUAAGGGGUGGGCAAGUCUGGUGUCAGCCGCCGCGGUAAUACCAGCACCCCGAGUGGUCGGGACGUUUAUUGGGCCUAAAGCAUCCGUAGCCGGUUCUACAAGUCUUCCGUUAAAUCCACCUGCUUAACAGAUGGGCUGCGGAAGAUACUAUAGAGCUAGGAGGCGGGAGAGGCAAGCGGUACUCGAUGGGUAGGGGUAAAAUCCGUUGAUCCAUUGAAGACCACCAGUGGCGAAGGCGGCUUGCCAGAACGCGCUCGACGGUGAGGGAUGAAAGCUGGGGGGGCAAACCGGAUUAGAUACCCGGGUAGUCCCAGCUGUAAACGAUGCAGACUCGGUGAUGAGUUGGCUUCUUGCCAACUCAGUGCCGCAGGGAAGCCGUUAAGUUUGCCGCCUGGGGAGUACGGUCGCAAGACUGAAACUUAAAGGAAUUGGCGGGGGAG
Molecule: ribosomal RNA, 788 nt
Filed under: uncultured archaeon
Lineage: Archaea
Description: bacterial SSU rRNA
Rfam family: Archaeal small subunit ribosomal RNA
Source: RNAcentral